This 6939-nucleotide long non-coding RNA is filed under the name Triticum aestivum (bread wheat). Its description in RNAcentral is "long non-coding RNA (TAES_LNC024415)". Lineage: Eukaryota; Viridiplantae; Streptophyta; Magnoliopsida; Poales; Poaceae. The record is from RNAcentral.
AAAUAGUUUACAAACGCCAUAGAGAAGUUGGAAUACAGUAGGUUUAACACCAAUAUAAAUAAAGAAUGAGUUCAUUACAGUACCUUGAAGUGGUGUUUUGCUUUCUUUCGCUAACGGAGCUUACGAGAUUUCUGUUGAGUUUUGUGUUGUGAAGUUUUCAAGUUUUGGGUAAAGAUUUGAUGGACUAUGGAAUAAGGAGUGGCAAGAGCCUAAGAUUGGGGAUGCCCAUGGCACCCCAAGAUAUUUAAGAAUAGCAAAAAGUCUAAGCUUGGGGAUGCCCCGGGAAGGCAUCCCCUCUUUCGUCUUUGUUUAUCGGUAACUUUACUUGGAGCUAUAUUUUUAUUCACCACAUGAUAUGUGUUUUGCUUGGAGCGUCUUGUAUGAUAUUAUUCUUUGCUUUUUAUUUUUCCACAAUCAUCGUUGCUGUACAAACCUUUUGGGAGAUACCCACAUGAUUAGAAUUUAUUAGAAUACUCUAUGAGCUUCACUUAUAUCUUUUGAGCUAAAUAGUUUUUGCUCUAGUGCUUCACUUAUAUUUUUUAGAGCACGGCGGUGGCUUAAUUUUGAAGAAAUUGUUAGUCUCUCAUGUUUCACUUAUAUUAUUUUGAGAGUCUUUUAGAACAGCAUGGUAUUUUCUAUGGUUAUAAAAUUGGUCCUACAAUGGUAGGCAUCCAAGUUGGGUAUAAUAAAAACUAUCAUAGAAAGUGAAUUGGAUGCUAUGAUCAAUUUGAUGCUUGAUAAUUGUUUUGAGAUAUAGAAGUGGUGAUAUUAGAGUUAUGCUAGUUGGGUGAUUAUAAAUUUAAAGAAUACUUGUGUUGAAGUUUGUGAUUCCCGUAGCAUGCACAUAUGGUGAACCGCUUUGUGAUGAACUCGGAGCAUAAUUUAUUUAUUGAUUGUCUUCCUUAUGAGUGGCGAUCGGGGAUGAGCGAUGGUAUUUUGCUACCAAUCUAUCCCCCUAGGAGCAUGCGCAUAGUACUUUGUUUUUGAUGACUUGUAGAUUUCUUUGCAAUAAGUAUAUGAGUUCUUUUGACUAAUGUUGAGUCCAUGGAUUAUACACACUCUCACCCUUCCACCAUUGCUAGCCUCUCUUGUGAGGUGCAAAUUUUGCCGGUACCAUACAUCCACCAUAUACCUUCCUCAAAAUAGCCACCAUACCUACCGAUUAUGGCAUUUCCAUAGCCAUUCCGAGAUAUAUUGCCAUGCAACUUUCCACCGUACCGUUUAUAUGACACGUAUCAUCAUUGUCAUAUUGCUCUUUGCAUGAUCAUGUAGUUGGCAUCGUAUUGGUGGCAAAGCCACCUCCAUAAUGUCAUACAUGUCACUCUUGAUUCAUUGCAUAUCCCGGUACACCACCGGAGGCAUUCAUAUAGAGUCAUAUCUUGUUCUAAGUAUUGAGUUGUAAAUAAAUAAAAGUGUGAUGAUCUUCAUUAUUAGAGCAUUGUCCCAGUGAGGAAAGGAUGAUGGAGACUAUGAUUCCCCCACAAGUCGGGAUGAGACUUCGGACUAAAAAAAGAAAAAAAAAGAGAAAGGACAAAUAAAAAAAGGGAAGGCCAAAUAAAGAAAAUGAGAGAAAAGAGAGAAGGGACAAUGCUACUAUCCAUUUUACCACACUUGUGCUUCAAAGUAGCACCAUGAUCUUCAUGAUAGAGAGUCUUCUAUGUUAUCACUUUCAUAUACUAGUGGGAAUUUUCAUUAUAGAACUUGGCUUGUAUAUUCCAAUGAUGGGCUUCCUCAAAAUGCCCUAGGUCUUCUUGAGCAAGGGAGUUGGAUGCAAACCCACUUAGUUUCUUUUGUUGAGCUUUCAUACAUUUAUAGCUCUAGUGCAUCCGUUGCAUGGCAAUCCCUACUCACUCACAUUGAUAUCUAUUAAUGGGCAUCUCCAUAGCCCGUUGAUAUGCCUAGUUGAUGUGAGACUAUGUUAUUUUUUGUCUUCUCCACAACCACCAUUCUAUUCCACAUAAAGUGCUAUGUCCAUGGCUCACGCUCAUGUAUUGCGUGAAAGAUUGAAAAAGUUUGAGAUUAUUAAAGUACGAAACAAUUGCUUGGCUUGUCAUCGGGGUUGUGCAUGCUUAAAUACUUUGUGUGAUGAAGAUAGAGCAUAGCCAGACUAUAUGAUUUUGUAGGGAUAACUUUCUUUAGCCAUGCUAUUUUGAGAAGACAUGAUUACUUUGAUUAGUAUGCUUGAAGUAUUACUAUUUCUUAUGUCAAUAUGAACUUUUAUUUUGAAUCAUUUGGAUCUGAACAUUCAUGCCACAAUAAACAAAAUUACAUUGAGAAUUAUGCUAGGUAGCAUUCGACAUCGAAAAUUCUGUUUUUAUCAUUUACCUACUCGAGGACGAGCAGGAAUUAAGCUUGGGGAUGCUUGAUACGUCUCCAACGUAUCUAUAAUUUUUGAUUGUUCCAUGCUAUUAUAUUACCUGUUUUGGAUGUUUAUGGGCUUUACUUUACACUUUUAUAUCAAUUUUGGGACUAACCUACUAACCGGAGGCCCGGCCUGUAUUGCUGUUUUUUGGCUAUUUCAGUAUUUCAAAGAAAAGGAAUAUCAAACGGAGUCCAAACGGAAUGAAACCUUCGCGAGCAUGAUUUUUGGAACGAACAUGAUCCAGAGGACUUGGAUUGCACGUCAAGAAGCGAUCGAGGUGGCCACGAGAGUGGAGGGCGCGCCCUUCCCUGGUGGGCACGCCCCCUUUCUCGUGGGACCCUCGGGCAUCCACCGACCUACUUCUUCCUCCUAUAUAUACCCACGUACUCCGAAAACAUCAGAGGCGACCACGAAAAACUAUUUCCACCACUGUAACCUUCUGUAUCCACGAGAUCCCAUCUUGGAGCCUUCGCCGGCGCUCCGUCGGAGGGGGAAUCGUUCAACAUAGACCCUCCGAUGAGUUGUGAGUUGUUUACCAUAGACCAUCGGGUCCAUAGUUAUUAGCUAGAUGGCUUCUUCUCUCUCUUUGAAUCUCAAUACAAAGUUCUCCUCGAUCUUCUUGGAGAUCUAUUCGAUGUAACUCUUUUUGCGGUGUGUUUGUCGAGAUCCGAUGAAUUGUGGGUUUAUGAUCAAGUUUAUCUAUGAGAAAUAUUUGAAUCUCCUCUGAAUUAUUUUAUGUGUCAUUAAGUUAUCUUUGCAAGUCUCUUGAAAUUAUCAGUUUGGUUUGGCCUACUAGAUUUAUCUUUCUUAAUGGGAGAAGUGCUUAGCUUUGGGUUCAAUCUUGCGGUGUCCUUUCCCAGUGACAGCAGGGGCAGCAAGGCACGUAUUGUAUUGUUGCCAUUGAGGAUAAAAAGAUGGGGUUUAUAUCAUAUUGCAUGAGUUUAUCCCUCUACGUCAUGUCAUCUUUCUUAAUGCGUUACUCUGUUCUUUAUGACCUUAAUACUCUAGAUGCAUGCUGGAUAGUGGUCAAUGUGUGGAGUAAUAGUAGUAGAAGUAGGCAGGAGUCGGUCUACUUUUCACGGACGUGAUGCCUAUAUACAUGAUCAUGCCUAGAUAAUCUCAUAAUUAUUCGCUUUUCUAUCAAUUGCUCGACAGUAAUUUGUUCACCCACCGUAAUAUUUAUGCUAUCUUGAGAGAAGCCACUAGUGAAACCUAUGGCCCCCGGGUCUAUCUUUUAUCAUAUAAUUUUGCUAUCUACUUUUAUUCGCAUCUUUACUUUUCCAAUCUAUAUUAUAAAAUACCAAAAAUAUAUUUAUCUUAUCAUAUUAUCUCUAUCAGAUCUCACUUUCGCAAGUGGCCGUGAAGGGAUGGACAACCCCUUUAUUGCGUUGGUUGCGAGUUCUUUGUUUGUUUGUGUAGGUGCGUGGGACUUUUGAGGAGCCUCCUACUGGAUUGAUACCUUGGUUCUCAAAAACUGAGGGAAAUACUUACGCUACCGUGCUGCAUCACCCUUUCCUCUUCAAGGAAAACCAACGCAAGCUCAAGACGUAGCAAGAAGGAUUUCUGGCGCCGUUGCCUGGGAGGCUUCCACCAAGUCAAGUCAAGAUUCGACCUACCGCCGACGUGCGAUUUCUGGCGCCGUUGCCGGGGAGGUCUUCACUCAAGUCAAGACAUACCAAGUACCCAUCACAAACUCAUCUCCCUCGCAUUUACAUUAUUUGCCAUUUGCCUCUCGUUUUCCUCUCCCCCACUUCACCCUUGCCGUUUUAUUCUCCCUCUCUUUCCCAAUCUCCUCUCUCUUUUGCUUGCCUUUUGUUUCCUCGUGUGUUGGAUUGCGUGUUGCCAUGGCGCAAGAUAAUACCAAGUUGUGUGAUUUUUCCAAUACCAAUAACAACGAUUUCCUUAGCACUCCAAUUGCCCCUCUUAAUGAUGAUGAAUCUUGUGAAAUCAAUGCUGCUUUGCUGAAUCUUGUUAUGAAAGAUCAAUUCUCUGGCCUUCCUAGUGAAGAUGUCGCUACCCAUCUAAACAAUUUAUUGAUUUGUGUGAGAUGAAAAAGAAGAAAGAUACAGAUAAUGAUAUUGUUAAAUUGAAGUUAUUUCCCGUUUCACUUAGAGAUCGUGCUAAAUUUUGGUUUUCGUCUUUGCCUAAGAAUAGUAUUGAUUCAUGGAAUAAGUGCAAAGAUUCUUUUAUCUCUAAAUAUUUUCCUCCCGCUAAGAUCAUCUCUCUUAGGAAUGAAAUUAUGAAUUUUAAACAACUUGAUCACGAGCAUGUUGCUCAAUCUUGGGAAAGAAUGAAAUUGAUGAUUCGCAAUUGCCCUACUCAUGGUUUGAAUUUAUGGAUGAUCAUACAAAAAUUUUAUGUCGGCUUGAAUUUUGCUUCUAGAAAUCUUUUAGAUUCGGCCGUGGGAGGCACGUUUAUGGAAAUCACCUUAGGAGAAGCUACUAAACUCCUUGAUAAUAUUAUGGCUAAUUAUUCUCAAUGGCACACCGAAAGAUCUACUAGUAAAAAAGUGCAUGCUAUAGAAGAAAUUAAUGUUUUGAGUGGAAAGAUGGAUGAACUCAUGAAAUUGUUUGCUGCUAAGAGUGUUUCUAUUGAUCCCAAUGAUAUGCCUUUGUCUACUUUGAUUGAGAAUAAUAAUGAAUCUAUGGAUGUUAAUUAUGUUGGUAGGAAUAAUUUUGGUAACAAUGCUUAUAGAGGAAACUUCAAUCCUAGACCGUUCCCUAGUAAUCCCUCUAAUAAUUAUGGAAAUUCCUACAAUAAUUCUUAUGAUAAUUUUAAUAAGAUACCCUCUGAUUUUGAGAAUAGUGUGAAAGAAUUUAUGAUCUCUCAAAAGAAUUCUAAUGCCUUGCUUGAAGAAAAAUUGCUUAGUUGAUGAUUUGGCUAGGAACGUUGAUAGACUUUCGCCUGAUGUUGGUUCUUUGAAACUUAGAUCUACUCCUCCUAAGCAUGAUAUCAAUGAGUCCCUCAAGGCUAUGAGGACUUCCAUUGAUGAGUGCAAAGAAAGAACCGCUAGAUUGCGUGCUAAGAAAGAUUGCUUUAUAAAGGCGUGUUCUUCUAGUUUCCAUGAAAAUAAUGAUGAAGAUCUUAAAGUUAUUGAUGUGUCCCCUAUUAUAUCAUUGUUUUGCAAUAUUAAUCUUAAUAAUGAUGGGACUGGAGAUGAGUCAACUUUAGUUAAAAGGCGUCCUAAUGAUUCGGAGUUUUUAGAUCUUAAUGCUAAAUUUGGUAAAAGUGGGAUUGAAUAGGUCAAGACUUUAAAAACCGUUGAACUCACUAUCUUGGAUUUUAAGGAGUAAAUUAUGAUAAUUGUUCUUUAAAAGAUUGUAUUUCCUUGUUGCAAUCCAUUGUGAAUUCUCCUCAUGCUUAUAGUCAAAAUAAAGCCUUUACCAAACACAUUGUUGAUGCCUUGAUGCAAUCUUAUGAUGAAAAACUUAAUUUGGAAGUAUCUAUACCUAGAAAACUUUAUGAUGAAUGGGAACCUACUAUAAAGAUUAAAAUUAAAGAUCAUGAGUGCUUUGCUUUAUGUGAUUUGGGUGCUAGUGUUUCCACGAUUCCGAAAACUUUAUGUGAUAUUAUAGGUUUCCGUGAUCUUGAUGAUUGCUCUUUAAAUUUGCAACUUGCGGUUUCCACUAUUAAAAAGCCUAUGGGAAGAAUCAAUGAUGUUCUUACUGUUGCAAAUAAGAAUUUGGUGCCCGUAGAUUUUAUCGUUCUUGAUAUAGAUUGCAAUCUUGCUUGUCCUAUUAUUCUUGGUAGACCUUUCCUUAGAACGAUUGGUGCGAUUAUUGAUAUGAAGGAAGGGAAUAUUAGAUUCCAAUUUCCAUUAAGGAAAGGCAUGGAACACUUUCCAAGAAAGAAAGUCAAAUUACCUUAUGAAUCUAUCAUGCGAGCUACUUAUGAAUUGAGUGCGAAAGGUGGCACUACUUAGAUCUAUCCUUGUUUUUAUGCCUAGCUAGGGGCGUUAAACGAUAGCGCUAGUUGGGAGGCAACCCAGUUUUCUUUGUGUUUUUUUGUUUUUGUUUCUGUUUAGUAAUAAAUUUAUCAUCUACCUUCUGUUUAGAUGUGUUUUAUGUUUUAAUUAGUGUUUGUGCCAAGUAAGACCUAUAGGAUUUUCUUGGAUGACAAAUAUUUGAUCUUGCUGAAAAUUCCAGAAACUUUCUGUUCACGAAAAAAUUUGUUUAAAAUCACCAGAACGUGAUAAAAUACUGAUUCCAAUUGCAGUAGAUCAAUAAACAAAUUAUCUAGGUCGUCCUAUUUUGUUGGAUUUUUCUGAGUUCCAGAAGUUUGCGUUAGUUACGGAUUACUACAGACGUUUCUGUUUUUGACAGAUUCUGUUUUUCGUGUGUUGUUUGCUUAUUUUGAUGCAUCUAUGGCUAGUAAAAUAGUUUAUAAACCAUAGAUAAGUUGGAAUACAGUAGGUUUAACACCAAUAUAAGUAAACAAUGAGUUCAUUACAGUACCUUGAAGUGGUGUUUUGCUUUCUUUCGCUAACGGAGCUUACGAGAUUUCUGUUGAGUUUUGUGUUGUGAAGUUUUCAAGUUUUGGGUAAAGAUUUGAUGGACUAUGGAAUAAGGAGUGGCAAG